UUCCGUUACGUGCCCUACGAGCGAAGAUAUUGCGAUGCAAAGUCCAAAUGUGGAAAAUUUUUUUUUAAGAAACGUCCACGUCGGACAAAAAUGGCGGCUGGUGUGUCACUUUCCCAUUUUUGACACGAGAGUGCAUUCGUGCACUGUCGCAGUGCGUGACACUGACAGUGACAGUUUUUUACAACCUAGAAAAGGAUAAGUGUAAAGUGUGUGAUAGUCGUGACCGUUGCCGCGUCGUGACAGAUAGUGAAAUGAAAUAUAUAUAAGUAUUGACCGUAGAGAGCUGAUGCCGAUAGAUCUUUAAGAAGGAAGGUGUAUCUACAAAAUCGUACAAACACAGAGAUGUCGAGGAGAUCUUUAAAAGAAGGAAGGUAUAUUCAAAAUGGCACACUGCUCUGAAUGUCAUCUAGUCAUACAUAUCAAGAACUUUCGAUGGGCUUCUUCAGAAGAUAGGAUAUGAA
This is a long non-coding RNA of Temnothorax curvispinosus, 461 nucleotides long. RefSeq lists it as uncharacterized. Lineage: Eukaryota; Metazoa; Arthropoda; Insecta; Hymenoptera; Formicidae. The record is from RefSeq and is a predicted model, not a curated record. The transcript has 3 exons.